Molecule: ribosomal RNA, 410 nt
Filed under: bacterium
Lineage: Bacteria
Description: partial 16S ribosomal RNA
Rfam family: Bacterial small subunit ribosomal RNA
Source: RNAcentral
UGGGGAAUAUUGCACAAUGGGCGGAAGCCUGAUGCAGCGACGCCGCGUGGGGGAUGACGGCCUUCGGGUUGUAAACUCCUUUCGACAGGGACGAAGCGCAAGUGACGGUACCUGUAUAAGAAGCACCGGCUAACUACGUGCCAGCAGCCGCGGUAAUACGUAGGGUGCGAGCGUUGUCCGGAAUUACUGGGCGUAAAGAGCUCGUAGGUGGUUUGUCGCGUCGUCUGUGAAAUUCCGGGGCGUAACUCCGGGCGUGCAGGCGAUACAGGCAUAACUUGAGUGCUGUAGGGGAGACUGGAAUUCCUGGUGUAGCGGUGAAAUGCGCAGAUAUCAGGAGGAACACCGAUGGCGAAGGCAGGUCUCUGGGCAGUUACUGACGCUGAGGAGCGAAAGCAUGGGUAGCGAACAGG